AUUGAACGCUGGCGGCAGGCUUAACACAUGCAAGUCGAGCGAGCGGCGGACGGGUGAGUAAUGUCUGGGAAACUGCCUGAUGGAGGGGGAUAACUUCUGGAAACGGUAGCUAAUACCGCAUACCAUCAGAUGUGCCCAGAUGGGAUUAGCUGGUAGGUGGGGUAAUGGCUCACCGAGGCGACGAUCCCUAGCUGGUCUGAGAGGAUGACGGGCCAAGAUGGAAGUGCGACACGGUCCAGGUGCCUACGGGAGGCAGCAGUGGGGGAUAUUGCACAAUGUGAGAAAGCCUGAUGCAGCGACGCCGCGUGGGGGAUGAAGGCUUUCGGGUUGUAAACCUCGUUCGCCAUCGAAAGGGUAGGUGGAGAAGAAGCGCCGGCUAACUACGUGCCAGCAGCCGCGGUAAUAC
RNAcentral lists this ribosomal RNA (406 nucleotides) under uncultured bacterium. RNAcentral describes it as "partial 16S ribosomal RNA". It matches the Rfam family "Bacterial small subunit ribosomal RNA", at positions 29 to 526 of the family's 1533-position model. The record is from RNAcentral.